UACGGGAGGCAGCAGUGGGGAAGUAUUGCACAAUGGGCGCAAGCCUGAUGCAGCCAUGCCGCGUGUAUGAAGAAGGCCUUCGGGUUGUAAAGUACUUUCAGUCGUGAGGAAGGUGUUAAGGUUAAUAACCUUAGCAAUUGACGUUAGCGACAGAAGAAGCACCGGCUAACUCCGUGCCAGCAGCCGCGGUAAUACGGAGGGUGCGAGCGUUAAUCGGAAUUACUGGGCGUAAAGGGCACGCAGGCGGUUAAUUAAAUUGGAUGUGAAAUCCCCGGGCUUAACCUGGGAAUGGCAUUCAAGACUGGUUUAGCUAGAGUCUUGUAGAGGGGGGUAGAAUUCCAUGUGUAGCGGUGAAAUGCGUAGAGAUGUGGAGGAAUACCGGGUGGCGAAGGCGGCCCCUGGACAAAGGCUGACGCUCAUGUGCGAAAGCGUGGGGGAGCAAACAGGGAUUUAGAU
Molecule: ribosomal RNA, 456 nt
Filed under: uncultured bacterium
Lineage: Bacteria
Description: bacterial SSU rRNA
Rfam family: Bacterial small subunit ribosomal RNA
Source: RNAcentral